UUUUCCUAUGUAAUUUCUCCCUGAGUAUGUGUAUUGACGAUUAUGCCCUUAUUGGCAAGUGACGUGGACUUAUUCUUAUCGCUUUCAUUUUUAUUUCUCGUUAUCGCAUUUAAAUUGUACACGCUAGUACGAGUAUGCGUAAAUUUUAAAGUGUAAAAUAUCUACUUCAGAUAGAUUUCGAUUUUCUUUUACUGUAGGAAAUCUGAAAAGCUAUCCUUGGAUUCCUUUUAAAUCCUACCCGUGCACUUCCCUUCAUCAUUCAGUCUCAGCUAUCCCAUUUUUUCUGUAUGUUUUGUCCCCCCCUCAAUCAGAAAAGCAUAUAUCUCUCUCUCUUCUCUCUCUUCUCCCUCUCCCACGCCACAUUUCUUCUUCUUCUUCCUCUCUGCAACAAUCACAAAACAUACCAAAACUCACAAAUGUGACAAACCAACUACAUCAUCAUGCUCAUCUCAAUCCCACGAUCACAACCAUGUCCUUGAAAUCUGGUGUGGACGAGUUUUGACUCACCAACUCGGAAGGUCGACUCGGCGAGUUCGACAUAUCGAUUUUCAAGCCAUGCAUGGCUAAGGUAAGCCUUAAGAAACCCUUAGAACCUUCAUUUCACUUUUAUGGGUUGUUAUUGAUCCUUUGUUUGUGUUUUGAACGUGUAGUUUUACCCAGAAACUCAAGAAGAAGGAGAAUCCGAAGUUUUUCGUACAAGAACCGUGGCCAUUUAGUCACUUUCAAACCAUUUUUAUGGUCAACCUCAACCACAACUGGAAUUCUUCUAGGUACAAACUUGUUCUCUACAUUCCUAACUUCAAAAUGGAUUUUGAAUCACUGAGUUUGGUUAAGUAACGAGUUAGAAAUCAACUCUGGAAGUUGGGAAGAAAAUUUUAGUUUUCUGGAAAAUUUCAGCCGUGGUCGUUUGGCCACUUUCAGGCCAAAUUUCUGAACAACACGGCCUAUAUUCGAACUUUCUGUAAAUUGGGAUCAGUAGAUCACAUUCCUAGCUUUAAUUUGGCUUUUGUAGAAGUGAAUUUGGUUGAGAAUCGAACUCGUUAUGGGCUCUGGAAGUUGGGCAA
This 1064-nucleotide long non-coding RNA is filed under the name Malus domestica (apple). RNAcentral describes it as "long non-coding RNA (MDOM_LNC015787)". Lineage: Eukaryota; Viridiplantae; Streptophyta; Magnoliopsida; Rosales; Rosaceae. The record is from RNAcentral.